RNAcentral lists this ribosomal RNA (757 nucleotides) under Priestia megaterium. RNAcentral's name for it is "bacterial SSU rRNA". It matches the Rfam family "Bacterial small subunit ribosomal RNA", at positions 48 to 786 of the family's 1533-position model. Lineage: Bacteria; Bacillati; Bacillota; Bacilli; Caryophanales; Bacillaceae. The record is from RNAcentral.
CUAAUACAUGCAAGUCGAGCGAACUGAUUAGAAGCUUGCUUCUAUGACGUUAGCGGCGGACGGGUGAGUAACACGUGGGCAACCUGCCUGUAAGACUGGGAUAACUUCGGGAAACCGAAGCUAAUACCGGAUAGGAUCUUCUCCUUCAUGGGAGAUGAUUGAAAGAUGGUUUCGGCUAUCACUUACAGAUGGGCCCGCGGUGCAUUAGCUAGUUGGUGAGGUAACGGCUCACCAAGGCAACGAUGCAUAGCCGACCUGAGAGGGUGAUCGGCCACACUGGGACUGAGACACGGCCCAGACUCCUACGGGAGGCAGCAGUAGGGAAUCUUCCGCAAUGGACGAAAGUCUGACGGAGCAACGCCGCGUGAGUGAUGAAGGCUUUCGGGUCGUAAAACUCUGUUGUUAGGGAAGAACAAGUACAAGAGUAACUGCUCGUACCUUGACGGUACCUAACCAGAAAGCCACGGCUAACUACGUGCCAGCAGCCGCGGUAAUACGUAGGUGGCAAGCGUUAUCCGGAAUUAUUGGGCGUAAAGCGCGCGCAGGCGGUUUCUUAAGUCUGAUGUGAAAGCCCACGGCUCAACCGUGGAGGGUCAUUGGAAACUGGGGAACUUGAGUGCAGAAGAGAAAAGCGGAAUUCCACGUGUAGCGGUGAAAUGCGUAGAGAUGUGGAGGAACACCAGUGGCGAAGGCGGCUUUUUGGUCUGUAACUGACGCUGAGGCGCGAAAGCGUGGGGAGCAAACAGGAUUAGAUACC